RNAcentral lists this long non-coding RNA (278 nucleotides) under Musa acuminata (dwarf banana). RNAcentral describes it as "long non-coding RNA (MACU_LNC009770)". The record is from RNAcentral. Lineage: Eukaryota; Viridiplantae; Streptophyta; Magnoliopsida; Zingiberales; Musaceae.
CAUAACCAAAGCUCUGGAUAUCAUAUCAAACAUACAGAAGGUGAAGUGAGACCAUAACAUAAUAUGGUACAUCCAUUUCUGAAUGACCACCAAACAUAAGUCUCCCACGUAUGGGAGGUAUCCCACGUUUGGGAGCUCCAUCCAUCCACGUCUGAGUGAAGUCAUAGGGGCCGGCAUAGCAUCACAGGCUCUAUGCAUAACUCCCUUCACCAUUUCUAGCAAAGGUUCAUAAUAUCCCACAAACACCAGAGUACAAAAGGAUAGUAUGAACAAUGAAU